Molecule: non-coding RNA, 2586 nt
Organism: Aegilops tauschii subsp. strangulata
Lineage: Eukaryota; Viridiplantae; Streptophyta; Magnoliopsida; Poales; Poaceae
Source: RefSeq, a predicted model, not a curated record
CACACCCACGUCCUUCCCAAAGGGUCCACACGCAUCACACUUAUCUUCUCACGUGAGACAAUACCAUCCACAAAUUUCUUUUCUUCCCCACUGGAUCCCAUGGCUUUCCUCAUCUCCGGUAGUGGUCAGCGCCGGCCACCGCCGCAGCCCUGGCGCUACUAGUGUCGCCCGGGUUCUUCCUUCUUCCUUCUUUCCCAUCCUCAUCUCUCACAUAGCUUUUUCUUCUUCUCCUUCGUGCCCCCCUUCAUAGCAAAACAAAUCCCUCAUAGAUCCGACGAGGUGUUUCCCAUUGGUUGCGUGGCCGCGCCCGCGACAGCCGCCACGCCAUGAUCUGAGCUCCAUCCCCGGGGGCGGUGCUGCAAUAGUCCUCAUCUGAAGCUGGAACCAAAAGCUGUUGGUGCUGCAAGCCCAGGUUGCUGUGCCAGGGACAACGGCUACGUCGUGGGCGGACGAGAUGCUGGAACUGGCCUCGGUGGGAGCUGCAACCAACGGCAAUUUUUGCUUCAUCCGUGUUUUUGUUUUUUGCUGGAAUCAGCGACUUUUUCUUGCUAGUAUUCGCAAAUUAAGUGUUUUUUGCUGGAACCAAAGGAUUUUUUUGCUACCAUGGUCUCUGAAUUUUGCUGGAUCCAGUACUCCUUUUUUUGGUACCAUUGUUUUGCUUUUUGCUGGAACUAGCAUCAUUUUUGCUACCACUGUCUUUGAGUUUUGCUGGAACCAAAUGAUUUUUGUGCUACCAUUGUCUUAGUUUUUGCUGGAACUAGCACCUAUUUGUGCUACUACCAACUUUGGAUUUUGCUGGAACGUCGUCGAUUUUGCUACAACCGGCAAAUGUUUUUGCUACGUCCAUUCAUGACGAGUUGCGACCCACGGCGACGACGACAACGUUUUUGCUGCAACCGCCGUUGCUUUUUGCUACGACGAACAAGUUUUUUUGCUACAUCUGUUUUAUGGUGCGAUUGGUGCCGUUUGUAUCGCCGAAACUCAUGCAGGCGACGGCGAGGCCAGGGGCGACGCACCGGAGUGCUGCAACCAUGGACCGUCUGCGAUCGGUCAGCGGCGGGAUCUGGAGCACAAACUGAGAGCGGGGGAGGUACCCGGCAAGCACCAUCGCCGGAAACGACGUGCGGCCUCACCGUCGUGAGUAGCGGCGAUCCGACGAGCGUGGGCGAUCCAGUGAACGCCGACGAUCUGGCAAGCUUCGUCCUCUCGUUCCCGUCCUGAACGUUUUCUCCCGAUUUGAGAUGAGGAGGUGGGGAAGAGAGAGUCGUCCGCGCGGGGAAUACGGGAGCGGGACGGGAUUCUUAGAUCUGACGGUUUUUACACUUCACAUCUGACGGCCAGGGUUGGACCGGGUCAAAGUUUGGGCCGGCGGACCGGCGCAGAGUACUCACCUUUGGGGAACGCGCCCCACCAGUUCUCCCUAUCCCCAAUUCCCCUCCCCUCACUCUCUCCACACGGGGGGGUCAACAGGAACCGAAUCCCUAGCCACCGGAAUUCGACGUGAACGGGAGAGUCCACCGCCGACGGGAGAAGCUUCUCCGGUUUGAACAACCACCCACAUCGGGAGCAGAGGGAGCCGCGCGCGUGCCCAGCAAGCGGACCGGCGGGGGAGACCCCGAGCCGCGGGCGCGACGGGGAGAAGAGAGGACGGGGGCGCGCGUGGGCGGCUGGCCAACGGGGAACCAGGGCGUCUCCGCCCAUCUACGAACCGCAGGCAAGACAAAAGUGAAAAACUAGGGGUGCGAGGAGGGCAUCCUUUUUCAGUAUCCCCUGGACUGGCAGCAUUGAGAUGGAGGACUACGCAGAUGAACAUAACGGCGAGGGCGCAGCAAGAACUGACGCAGCGGCCGGGAACAAAGAUGAGGGUUUACAAGUCCGUAGGCGACCAAGGAAGAAGCAGGUUCAGGAAGGAAGAAAUAGAGCAGCGCCCGCAGGGCUUGUAAAGUUAAACAAGAGUUUUGAGCAGGAUCAAAAGGAUCUCACCAAAACAUACCAUCUGGGGAGCAAUACUGAAGAUUGAGGCACAUCGAUGCCUGCGGACCUGAGCCGGUGGGUGAUGCAGAGUUACGAUCCAGACAGCGAGUGUAUUGUAGUCCAAGGCAGGGGCGAGAUUCCCGUAACAGCCGAAAGCGUCCACCAUACUUUGGGUCUACGCAACUCUGGGGAAGACGUGUUCUAUGGCUGGGAUUCAGAAGCUAUAUCAUUCAUAAACAGCAGGUACGGGUUUGAGAAUGGAAGUGCCCCCGAGAUAACAACCGUCUACAACAUGAUUGGAAAGAUGGUGAGGAGAGCAGACGAUGAUUUCAUGCGGGCAUGGUUGAUAGUUGUAGUGAGCACUUUCAUGUGCCCCACAACGAGCCUUCAUGUCAGUCCUUGAUGCUACCCAAUAGUCGCCGAUUUGGAGAAAGUAGAGGCUCAACUUCUGCGCAUUCACAGCAAAUCAGAUUAAAGCUUCAUUAGCGAACCGGCGAAGUAAGAAGUAUGCAGUAAACUGCUGCGUGCACCACAUGGUGAUAGAAGAUUUGGUAAGUAUCCAGACAGAAGAUUGGAAACUACUGAAAUCAAGUGCCCAAAGCAAGAUAACAG